AACGAACGCUGGCGGCAUGCCUAACACAUGCAAGUCGAACGAGACCUUCGGGUCUAUUGGCGCACGUGUGCGUAACGCGUGGGAACCUGCCCUUAGGUUCGGAAUAACUCCCCGAAAGGGGUGCUAAUACCGGAUAAUGUCUUCGGACCAAAGAUUUAUCGCCUUUGGAUGGGCCCGCGUUGGAUUAGCUAGUUGGUAGGGUAAAAGCCUACCAAGGCGACGAUCCAUAGCUGGUCUGAGAGGAUGAUCAGCCACACUGGGACUGAGACACGGCCCAGACUCGUACGGGAGGCAGCAGUGGGGAAUAUUGGACGAUGGGCGAAAGCCUGAUCAAGCCAUGCCGCGUGAGUGAUGAAGGCCUUAGGGUUGUAAAGCUCUUUUACCCGGGAUGAUAAUGACAGUACCGGGAGAAUAAGCGCCGGCUAACUCCGUG
This 433-nucleotide ribosomal RNA is filed under the name uncultured bacterium. RNAcentral's name for it is "partial 16S ribosomal RNA". It matches the Rfam family "Bacterial small subunit ribosomal RNA", at positions 29 to 507 of the family's 1533-position model. The record is from RNAcentral.